Long non-coding RNA from Olea europaea var. sylvestris, 281 nucleotides. RefSeq lists it as uncharacterized. Lineage: Eukaryota; Viridiplantae; Streptophyta; Magnoliopsida; Lamiales; Oleaceae. The record is from RefSeq and is a predicted model, not a curated record. The transcript has 3 exons.
GUACACGAUCCAUCUACCCAAAACCCUUAAAAUCUGAAAUCCCAAAAUUCCCAAAUCUGACGCCUCAGUCUCAUCUCCUGGACUCCGGUCACUCCGCCAGUCCACAGCCGGCCGCUUCGGACGCCGUUUCGGCUUUGUGAAUUGCUCAUGAGUUGUGAGGUGGAAUUCUCAAAGGUGAAAUUCCACAAUUUUCGUCGAAAUUCUACUUCUCAAGUUAAUCAUUGAGCAUUAGAUAUGGAUUCAUACACUAUGUCUCCUAAAUAUGAGUCUGGUGCUCAAGA